This 468-nucleotide ribosomal RNA is filed under the name uncultured bacterium. RNAcentral's name for it is "partial 16S ribosomal RNA". It matches the Rfam family "Bacterial small subunit ribosomal RNA", at positions 28 to 507 of the family's 1533-position model. The record is from RNAcentral.
GACGAACGCUGGCGGCGUGCUUAACACAUGCAAGUCGAGCGGUGAAACUCCGACUUGGUGGCGUUGAUCAUUGGCGAACGGGUGAGUAACACGUGUGCAACCUGCCCCUGACUCUGGAAUAUACGCUGGAAACGGCGUCUAAUACUGGAUACGAUAAGGUGCCGCAUGGGGACUUUCUGGAAAGUUUGUCGGUGGUGGAUGGUCUCGCGGGCUAUCAGCUUGUUUGUGAGGUAAUUGCUCACCAAGGCGACGACGGGUAGCCCGCCUGAGAGCGCGAACGGCGUCCCUGGGCCUGCGACACGCCGCAGACGCCUACGGUCGGCAACAGUGGGGAGUCUUACGCAACGGCCGCACGUCUGUUGUAGAGAUGCCGCGUGCGUAAUGCCCGCCUACGGGUUGUAAACCACUUUCUGAAGGGCAGAAGCCAUAGUGACGGUACCUGCACAAGAAGCACCGGCUAACUACGUG